RNAcentral lists this ribosomal RNA (274 nucleotides) under uncultured bacterium. Its description in RNAcentral is "partial 16S ribosomal RNA". It matches the Rfam family "Bacterial small subunit ribosomal RNA", at positions 523 to 796 of the family's 1533-position model. The record is from RNAcentral.
AUACGGAGGGUGCAAGCGUUACCCGGAAUCACUGGGCGUAAAGCGCGCGCAGGCGGGCUGAUAAGUUGGAUGUGAAAGCCUACGGCUCAACCGUAGAACUGCAUCCAAAACUGUCAGUCUAGAGUCUGGGAGGGGAAGAUGGAAUUAGUUGUGUAGGGGUAAAAUCCGUAGAGAUAACUAGGAAUACCAAAAGCGAAGGCGAUCUUCUGGAACAGUACUGACGCUGAGGCGCGAAAGCGUGGGGAGUAAACAGGAUUAGAAACCCUAGUAGUCC